RNAcentral lists this transfer RNA (78 nucleotides) under Vibrio phage V05. RNAcentral's name for it is "tRNA-Leu". It matches the Rfam family "tRNA". Rfam says of the family: Transfer RNA (tRNA) molecules are approximately 80 nucleotides in length. Their secondary structure includes four short double-helical elements and three loops (D, anti-codon, and T loops). Lineage: Duplodnaviria; Heunggongvirae; Uroviricota; Caudoviricetes; Pantevenvirales; Straboviridae. The record is from RNAcentral.
GCCCAACUAGGCCAAUCUGGCAGAGUCGCUAGUUUCAAACACUAGAAGUUCCGAGUUCGAAUCUCGGGUUGGGCACCA